CCCUCCUACAAAGGCGUGCUGGUGGUUUCCUGUCCUUGGACUUGUAAGAAUUGGAGGCAAAGAGCUGUGAACUUGGAGAAGGCUGGAGCCAGCUUGCUCCCUGCAGGCUCAAGAUCACCCUCCCACACAG
RNAcentral lists this small nucleolar RNA (130 nucleotides) under Dasypus novemcinctus (nine-banded armadillo). Its description in RNAcentral is "Small nucleolar RNA SNORA38 (ENSDNOG00000043167.1)". It matches the Rfam family "Small nucleolar RNA SNORA38". Rfam says of the family: ACA38 is a member of the H/ACA class of snoRNA that guide the sites of modification of uridines to pseudouridines. The record is from RNAcentral. Lineage: Eukaryota; Metazoa; Chordata; Mammalia; Cingulata; Dasypodidae.